This 515-nucleotide ribosomal RNA is filed under the name uncultured bacterium. Its description in RNAcentral is "bacterial SSU rRNA". It matches the Rfam family "Bacterial small subunit ribosomal RNA", at positions 798 to 1317 of the family's 1533-position model. The record is from RNAcentral.
CACGGUAAACGAUGGAUGCCCGCUGUAUGCGAUACAAUGUAUGCGGUCAAGCGAAAGCGUUAAGCAUCCCACCUGGGGAGUACGCCGGCAACGGUGAAACUCAAAGGAAUUGACGGGGGCCCGCACAAGCGGAGGAACAUGUGGUUUAAUUCGAUGAUACGCGAGGAACCUUACCCGGGCUUGAACUGCAGCGGAAGGCGGCAGAGAUGCCAACGCCCUUCGGGGCCGCUGUGGAGGUGCUGCAUGGUUGUCGUCAGCUCGUGCCGUGAGGUGUCGGCUUAAGUGCCAUAACGAGCGCAACCCCUCUCCGUAGUUGCCAUCGGGUGAUGCCGGGCACUCUGCGGACACUGCCACCGCAAGGUGCGAGGAAGGUGGGGAUGACGUCAAAUCAGCACGGCCCUUACGUCCGGGGCUACACACGUGUUACAAUGGGGGGCACAGCGAGCUGGGCGUACGCAAGUGCGUCCGAAUCAAGAAAUCCCCCCUCAGUUCGGACUGGGGUCUGCAACCCGACC